Molecule: non-coding RNA, 125 nt
Organism: Triticum aestivum (bread wheat)
Lineage: Eukaryota; Viridiplantae; Streptophyta; Magnoliopsida; Poales; Poaceae
Source: Rfam
AUAGUACUCCCUCCGUACAUAAUUACUUGUCGCAGAAAUGAAUAAAAACGAAUGUAUCUAGAACUAAAAUAUAUCUAAAUACAUCCAUCUCUCCAACAAGUAAUUCCAAAUGGAGGGAGUAUUUU